GUCGAGCGAGAACCGUAGCAAUACGGGGACAGCGGCGAAAGGGACAGUAAUGUGUAGGUACCUACCCCCGGGUUCGUGAUAGCUGCGGGAAACUGCAGGUAAUACCGAAUAAUGUCUCCGGACCAAAGGUGUGAUUCCACCUGGGGAGGGGCCUGCAUCCUAUUAGCUUGUUGGUGGGGUAACGGCCUACCAAGGCAACGAUGGGUAGCGGGUGUGAGAGCAUGACCCGCGUCAUUGGGACUGAGACACUGCCCAGACACCUACGGGUGGCUGCAGUCGAGAAUCUUCGGCAAUGGGCGAAAGCCUGACCGAGCGACGCCGCGUGCGGGAUGAAGGCCCUCGGGUUGUAAACCGCUGUCGUAGAGGAGGAAAUGCAGGGGGGUUCUCCCCUUUGCUUGACCUAUUCUAGGAGGAAGUACGGGCUAAGUUCGUGCCAGCAGCCGCGGUAAGACGAACCGUACAAACGUUACUCGGAAUUACUGGGCUUAAAGGGUGCGUAGGCUGCGCGGAAAGUUGGGUGUGAAAGCCCUCGGCUCAACCGAGGAAUUGCAUUCAAAACUACCGUGCUCGAGGGAGACAGAGGUAAGCGGAACUCAAGGUGGAGCGGUGAAAUGCGUUGAUAUCUUGAGGAACACCGGUGGCGAGGGCGGCUUACUGGGUCUCUUCUGACGCUGAGGCACGAUAGCUAAGGUAGCAAACGGGAUUAGAUACCCCGGUAGUCUUAGCUGUAAACGAUGAGCACUUGAUUGGAGGGUCCUCCAUAGCCUUCCAGUCGUAGCGAAAGUGUUAAGUGCUCCGCCUGGGGAGUAUGGUCGCAAGGC
Molecule: ribosomal RNA, 821 nt
Filed under: uncultured Planctomycetota bacterium
Lineage: Bacteria; Pseudomonadati; Planctomycetota
Description: bacterial SSU rRNA
Rfam family: Bacterial small subunit ribosomal RNA
Source: RNAcentral